CCUCUCUCCCUCCCUCCUUCCUCUUUCUUUUUUAAUCACCAGGCAUUGUGCUUGACAGCAAGGAAACAAACGUGACUAAGACCCUGACCCUGCCUUCAAGGAACUUACGGUUCAGGUGAAGAAAUGAAAGAAGCACAGGACUUGGAAGACAGACUCAGUGGCUGAAACUCCAAGACCAGAUCAUGAUAAGCUUUGAAGAGUUGUACACAGCAGUUAAGGAACCCCUUCCCUCAGGAAUUCCCACCAGGUUUGACCAUUUUAACAGAAGGCAGGGGGCACUGUUGACAUCCUCACAGGUCCAUGCAGACGUCAAAGGAAAAGCCCCCAAAAGGUUCCUGGAUCUCACACCAUGGAAAAACACAGAAGAUGAAAGAACAGUACUCUGGCCAGAAUUUAAGGAAAUUCUUAACAAAUUAGGUUUUCAUAUGAAGGAAAUGGGGUUUGAAAACUUUGGCAACGGUAACUUUCAUCUCAAGUAAAUUUCACUUACCACAGAACAAAUACUGAUCCAUACCUCUUGGAACUGCAAAGAAAAGGUGUGAUAUUAUUAUCCAUGAAAACACAUCUCUGUAUCUUGAAUUUGCUGGGCUUUGAAUUUCAAGCCAGAUGGGUAGUGAUAGGGAGGGUCUAGGGGUAGGGGGCUUCCCACCCUCUGCUCUCAUCCCUUGUUCCCUUCUCAUUUUGGACUCCAGUGCCCAGCAUGGGACCUGGCAUAUGGUGGACACUCAUUUAUU
Leptonychotes weddellii (Weddell seal) is the source of this 734-nucleotide non-coding RNA. Lineage: Eukaryota; Metazoa; Chordata; Mammalia; Carnivora; Phocidae. The record is from RefSeq and is a predicted model, not a curated record.